GAACGCUGGCGGCAUGGUUAAAGCAUGCAAGUCGAACGGUUAAAGCCCCUUCGGGGGUGUAUAAAGUGGCGUAAGGGCGAGGAAUACGUUUCCACGUACCCCGAGGUCGAGGAUAGCCCAGGGAAACUUGGUGUAAUACUCGAUGUGGUCCUUCGGGAUCAAAGGCUUCGGUCGCCUUGGGAGCGGGGAACGUCCUAUCAGGUUGUUGGUGAGGUAACGGCUCACCAAGCCGCAGACGGGUAGCGGGUGUGAGAGCACGGCCCGCCGCAUCGGGACUGAGACACUGCCCGGACUCCUACGGGAGGCUGCAGCAACGAAUCUUCCGCAAUGCGCGAAAGCGUGACGGAGCAAUGCCGCGUGCAGGAUGAAUCCCUUCGGGGUGUAAACUGCUGUCAGGGUUCAGCAACACAAUGAGCAGACCCAAAGGAAGGGCCGGCUAACUUCGUGCCAGCAGCCGCGGUAAUACGAAGGGCCCGAGCGUUGCGCGGAAUCACUGGGCUUAAAGCGUACGUAGGCGGACAAGAAGGUAUCUUGUGAAAGCCCUCGGCUCAACCGAGGAACUGCAGGGUAAACCGCUUGUCUUGAGACAAGUAGGGGCUGUCGGAACGAUAGGUGGAGCGGUGAAAUGCGUUGAUAUCUAUCGGAACGCCAAAGGUGAAGACAGGCAGCUGGGCUUGUUCUGACGCUGAGGUACGAAAGCGUGGGGAGCGAACGGGAUUAGAUACCCCGGUAGUCCACGCCGUAAACGAUGUG
This 753-nucleotide ribosomal RNA is filed under the name uncultured bacterium. Its description in RNAcentral is "bacterial SSU rRNA". It matches the Rfam family "Bacterial small subunit ribosomal RNA", at positions 31 to 813 of the family's 1533-position model. The record is from RNAcentral.